RNAcentral lists this non-coding RNA (42 nucleotides) under Trypanosoma brucei brucei. Lineage: Eukaryota; Euglenozoa; Kinetoplastea; Trypanosomatida; Trypanosomatidae. The record is from RNAcentral.
AUCAACAGUAGAGGAUGGGGUGAUAAUAGAUUGUGAGAUAAU